UAUUUUUCUCUUGCUAAUUCCCCCUUAUCAGGUUAUUUGGGGUCCCACAUACGGCCCAGGAUAAGAGAAGAAGUGCUUUCUCCAUGCAAGCUUUUAUGAGGCCACCAUAGCAGAAAUGAACUUCCUACCAAUCAAAAGAAAUACCUAACUCAAAAAGGAAAAUCACUACAGAUGUUUAAGACUAAGAAAGGAGCCUUAUACUCAUUCUCUCCGUGUCCAGCCUCCAGUCAGGGCAGAUGUUCAUCUAUGGCACUGACCAGAAAAGUUUUUCUGCCGGAUUUCCAAAAUGGGAAAAGACUAAGCCCAUCAGUCCAGAGAAACUACAGAACCACAGUGCAGUCACGUACAGCAAGCAAGGAUCUGCAGAAAAUAACUAUCCUGAAGCAGGUGUGUUUUGCUAAAAAUGAAAAUAAAAAUAAACUAG
This 424-nucleotide long non-coding RNA is filed under the name Cricetulus griseus (Chinese hamster). RNAcentral's name for it is "lncRNA (ENSCGRG00000024458.1)". Lineage: Eukaryota; Metazoa; Chordata; Mammalia; Rodentia; Cricetidae. The record is from RNAcentral.